Molecule: ribosomal RNA, 250 nt
Filed under: uncultured bacterium
Lineage: Bacteria
Description: partial 16S ribosomal RNA
Rfam family: Bacterial small subunit ribosomal RNA
Source: RNAcentral
UACGAGGGGUCCUAGCGUUGCUCGGAAUCAUUGGGCGUAAAGCGGAUGUAGGCGGACUGCCAAGUCAGAUGUGAAAGCCCCGGGCUCAACCCGGGAAGUGCAUUUGAUACUAGCGGUCUUGAGUGCAGUAGAGGAAGGUAGAAUACCAAGUGUAGUGGUGAAAUACGUAGAUAUUUGGUGGAACACCGGUGGCGAAGGCGGCCUUCUGGACUGUCACUGACGCUCAGAUCCGAAAGCGUGGGGAUCAAAC